This 938-nucleotide long non-coding RNA is filed under the name Chinchilla lanigera (long-tailed chinchilla). Its description in RNAcentral is "lncRNA (ENSCLAG00000026671.1)". The record is from RNAcentral. Lineage: Eukaryota; Metazoa; Chordata; Mammalia; Rodentia; Chinchillidae.
CUGACAUGUUGACAUUUGGCAGCAGUAACUGAAGCGUCUAUGAAAGACAGAUUUCUAAGAUGAGCUUAUGUUUCAUGAUGACACACCAGAGGCUUCCAGGAGCCCCCAGAAAUUUUAUUCCCACAGCCUGGAAGCCAGGGUUACCUGGAAGACGUCGGCGCCUUGGAGAAGUCAACAGAAAGCGGGGGAGGAGGAACACCAGUUUCCACAAGCUGAGCCGGCAGGAAGCCAACUCACAGGACGCAUAGACAAUGCAGCAGGUAGGGGUGCAGCCUCCACUGUGAGAACAGAGCAGAGGACCAGCAAAGAGGCCGAGGACCAGGGCAGCUACUAAGGGGCUGAGCUAGAAUUCGAACCCAGGUCCUUCACGGAAGCCCAGUGAACCACAGCUCGCUUCAUGGAGGAACACAUCAGCCAACUCCAGAUACCGCGCAGACUCGGAGACUGCGGGCAGUGCUCUUUGUCAAGGGCAGACACAAAGAGGUCGACGCCUCCCCCACACCCGCUCAGCCAAUGGCUCCUCAUGUGAGUUUAAGCGAAGGACCUCAACUUUCUGAGCCUCAGUUUCUUUCUCUGGAAGAUGGGUGCUAAAACUGCAUGUGUAGUGGAGUUGACUUAAAACACGGGGAGCACCUGGAUCAUGCAGGUACUCAAAAAAAUACACCUCAUUCCCAUCUCACCAUCCACAGCCUUGCAUAACCUACAGGUGCCUCAGUUCCUUCAUGCAAAUAUCAUGUCACUUCCAGGCUGGUUGUCCCCCUAAAGAGGUGGCGCUGGCAGAGAAGUGAUGUGAACCUCCAGUCACAUCCUCAGAGCUGUCCCGGGUUUUGUCCCCAAUGCCCUCGGCUGUCAAGCAAACCGAUUCAAGUUCACUAACAAUUUCAAGCUGCCCCUGGAAAGAAUACCCAGGGAUCCCUGCGAACGCUGUUGAUUCUGGC